Non-coding RNA from Coemansia reversa NRRL 1564, 82 nucleotides. NCBI's taxonomy places the organism in Eukaryota, Fungi, Kickxellomycota, Kickxellomycetes, Kickxellales, Kickxellaceae. The record is from the annotation of a GenBank genome assembly.
GUCAGUAUGGCCGAACGGUAAAGGUGACAGAUUUAGAAUCUGUUAGGUAUUCCCAGCAUAAAUUCGAAUCCUCUGGUUGACA